UUGCUAACGCGGGGGUCCUGCAAUGCGCCCGGUCAACAAACCGGCAAUUGCGGGUGAGAAAUACCCUUUGAACCUGAUCUGGAUAAUGCCAGCGCAGGGAAGCGUACGGGCUUCGCCG
This 118-nucleotide non-coding RNA is filed under the name Burkholderia ubonensis. RNAcentral describes it as "TPP sequence". It matches the Rfam family "TPP riboswitch aptamer (THI element)". Rfam says of the family: Vitamin B(1) in its active form thiamin pyrophosphate (TPP) is an essential coenzyme that is synthesised by coupling of pyrimidine and thiazole moieties in bacteria. The record is from RNAcentral. Lineage: Bacteria; Pseudomonadati; Pseudomonadota; Betaproteobacteria; Burkholderiales; Burkholderiaceae.